AGGGCUAUAGCUCAGUUAGGUAGAGCACCUCGUUUACACAUAAGUUUGAUCUGUUUUACCGAGAAGGUCUACGGUUCGAGUCCGUAUAGCCCUA
This 94-nucleotide transfer RNA is filed under the name Spiraea alba var. latifolia. Its description in RNAcentral is "transfer RNA-Cys(ACA)". It matches the Rfam family "tRNA". Rfam says of the family: Transfer RNA (tRNA) molecules are approximately 80 nucleotides in length. Their secondary structure includes four short double-helical elements and three loops (D, anti-codon, and T loops). Lineage: Eukaryota; Viridiplantae; Streptophyta; Magnoliopsida; Rosales; Rosaceae. The record is from RNAcentral.